This 72-nucleotide transfer RNA is filed under the name Ignavibacteria bacterium. Its description in RNAcentral is "tRNA-Val". It matches the Rfam family "tRNA". Rfam says of the family: Transfer RNA (tRNA) molecules are approximately 80 nucleotides in length. Their secondary structure includes four short double-helical elements and three loops (D, anti-codon, and T loops). Further hydrogen bonds mediate the characteristic L-shaped molecular structure. tRNAs have two regions of fundamental functional importance: the anti-codon, which is responsible for specific mRNA codon recognition, and the 3' end, to which the tRNAs corresponding amino acid is attached (by aminoacyl-tRNA synthetases). tRNAs cope with the degeneracy of the genetic code in two manners: having more than one tRNA (with a specific anti-codon) for a particular amino acid; and 'wobble' base-pairing, i.e. permitting non-standard base-pairing at the 3rd anti-codon position. The record is from RNAcentral. Lineage: Bacteria; Pseudomonadati; Ignavibacteriota; Ignavibacteria.
GCAGGUUUAACUCAACGGGAGAGUGCUUCCCUUACAAGGAAGAAGUUAUGGGUUCAAAUCCCUUAACCUGUA